AUCGAGCACUGUGAGAACAGGGAAAGGCAGCGGAUCCGGGAGCCAGCGGAUGCCUUUUCCUCUCCUUCCCAAUGCCAUUACCUGCUUCCUGCUGUACCUUAUCUCUCCACAGCCACCUUUGUCCUUGCAGGCUGGUCAGAGCCGGGCAGUUCCAUCUGAGCCCACAGCGAGCAGCCGGGGCUGGAGGGUGUCCCAGGGGAUUGGUAGAAGACAAAGGCUGGGAAGAGACAUUGAGGCCCUUUCGAAGAGCCCGCCCUGUGCUGCGGGGCUGGAGGAGACCCGGGUUGACCCAAAGCUUUGGAGCCCCGCGCUACUGGAAUGUGGCUUUUCCCCUCCUUCAUCCCUAUGGAGCCGUGGGUGAACAACGCGAUGUGGCGCCCAUCAGGCUCCAGGCAGCUGUGGUGUCUGGUGCUGGGUUACACCCUGCCCCGCACUGACUCCGGUGCAGGCGCCGGCACUUACCCCGUUGGGUGAUGCACAACCUUCUCCCGUGCCUCAGUUUCCCCCAGCAUGGAAAAGGUGCUUUGGCAGCGGGACACUGAGCCCUGGUUGUUCCCUUCCUCCCCACGCAAGAGCCCUGCUCUGCCCAGUGCUGGAGGAAGCAGCUGGAGCCGCCUGCACACAGGGAGCAUCCGGCCCUUGCUCAGGCCUCGUGGGACCAAGGUUGUGUAUUUACUCCUUCCCCUUCCCCUCGCUGCUGGGCUGAAUCACGGCCGCUGCAUCACACAGCACCGUUAGGCCGGGGGUCUCCCAAUGAACUGGAGGAGUUUGGCUCCGGGGCUCUCUGCAGCUCUUGUCCACCAGCACAAUGUCCCCACAGGGAACAGCCCCACUGGGGUGUGGAGCGGUGGGGAAGGUGCAAGGACAUGGAUGCUCCGUGGAGGCAGCAGGAGCCCAGGGGAUGCUGCAGCCCAGGGAUGGGGCCGUGGCCCCUGGAUGUGCCCAACUGACUGCGCUGCUGUGUUUCUCCAUGAGCCUGUAGGGACAGGCCAAGGGAAUGGCUUUAACCUGCCAGAGGGGAGACUGAGAUGAGCUCUUAGGCAGAAGCUCUUCUCUGUGAGGGUGCUGAGGCGCUGGCACAGGGUGCCCAGAGAAGCUGUGGCUGCCCCAUCCCUGGCAGUGCUCAAGGCCAGGUUGGACACAGGGGCUUGGAGCACUGCUCCAGUGGAAGGUGUCCCUGCCCGUGGCGGGGUUGGAGCUGGAGGAGCGUUAAGGUCUUUUCCAAUACAAACCAGGCUGGGAUUGCGUGACGUGAGGAGCAGCCCUGGGCGAAGCCCAGCCCUGGUUCAGGAGAGCUUUCCCCAUGGUUUAUGGCAUGGCUUGGAAGGACUUUUCCUCCACAUUCGUGCUCAAAGAUGCUUUGACCUGACAGGCUGAUGUGCUGGGAGCGCACGGCUGCGGCUGCCUUGCUCCAUCCGUCUCCAGUUCCUCC
Molecule: long non-coding RNA, 1432 nt
Filed under: Amazona collaria (yellow-billed parrot)
Lineage: Eukaryota; Metazoa; Chordata; Aves; Psittaciformes; Psittacidae
Description: lncRNA (ENSACOG00000002537.1)
Source: RNAcentral